This 433-nucleotide ribosomal RNA is filed under the name uncultured bacterium. RNAcentral's name for it is "partial 16S ribosomal RNA". It matches the Rfam family "Bacterial small subunit ribosomal RNA", at positions 29 to 507 of the family's 1533-position model. The record is from RNAcentral.
AACGAACGCUGGCGGCAUGCCUAACACAUGCAAGUCGAACGAGACCUUCGGGUCUAGUGGCGCACGGGUGCGUAACGCGUGGGAACCUGCCCUUAGGUUCGGAAUAACUCCCCGAAAGGGGUGCUAAUACCGGAUAAUGUCUUCGGACCAAAGAUUUAUCGCCUUUGGAUGGGCCCGCGUUGGAUUAGCUAGUUGGUAGGGUAAAAGCCUACCAAGGCGACGACCCAUAGCUGGUCUGAGAUGAUGAUCAGCCACACUGGGACUGAGACACGGCCCAGACUCCUACGGGAGGCAGCAGUGGGGAAUAUUGGACAAUGGGCGAAAGCCUGAUCCAGCAAUGCCGCGUGAGUGAUGAAGGCCUUAGGGUUGUAAAGCUCUUUUACCCGGGAUGAUAAUGACAGUACCGGGAGAAUAAGCUCCGGCUAACUCCGUG